This 307-nucleotide small nuclear RNA is filed under the name Ophiophagus hannah (king cobra). RNAcentral's name for it is "7SK RNA". It matches the Rfam family "7SK RNA". From Rfam's summary of the family: 7SK was discovered as an abundant small nuclear RNA in the mid-70s but a possible function has only recently been suggested. Two independent studies have found that 7SK RNA binds the CDK9/cyclin T complex (known as elongation factor P-TEFb). Lineage: Eukaryota; Metazoa; Chordata; Lepidosauria; Squamata; Elapidae. The record is from Rfam by way of RNAcentral.
AGAGGUGAAGAUGAUGUCAGUGUGACAUCUGUCAACCCAUUGAUCAUUAAGGCUAAUUUGAUGGAUUUGGCUGGCUAGGUAUCCUUAUCAUCCCUUUCCAUUUCCACUACUCCCUUGUUAUCCCUCUUGGAGGAAUUGCUUGGAGGAAGAAGAUUACCAUCCCAGACAGAAGGACUGUGAUGUGCUUUGGUCAAGAGUAUAGAAUAGUUUGGUAUAAUAACUGCAACAUGUUUUGAGGGUGCUAAACAAGGGCAUAGCUGACCUAAGGCUUUUCAUUUGAGAAACAAAAUUAGAAGGAUGCCUUGUC